Hypanus sabinus (Atlantic stingray) is the source of this 284-nucleotide long non-coding RNA. RefSeq lists it as uncharacterized. The transcript has 3 exons. Lineage: Eukaryota; Metazoa; Chordata; Chondrichthyes; Myliobatiformes; Dasyatidae. The record is from RefSeq and is a predicted model, not a curated record.
GAUCUGAUCCAAUAUGGCUGGAUGGAAUAAAAUGUCUCUCGUACGAGUCGACUCUUUGGCAGUGUCAUGCAAAACCUUGGGGGAAACACGACUGUCAAUAUAACUCACAUGCAGGUGUUGAAUGUAAAGAGGCCAAAAAACCGGACCGGUCCAGUGUAAAGGUUUGCGAAGCACGCAAUAUAUCUCAACCUGUUUAUGCAGCAGAACCCACGUUGCGCGUUUCUGGCGGCAACACCAAUUGCUCUGGAAGGUUGGAGAUAAAGUUCAAUAAUAUCUGGGGCACG